CUAUAAACGCAUAUUUAGUCAAAAUGGCUGCUAGAAGCUUCUAACCCCUCCUCCCCAAUAACAUCGACUAACUACCUCGUGCAGCAAGAUGGCGCUGGGAAACCGUGGGAGACCCUCAUGGUCCCGGUGACAUCACCCUUAGUAGGCAGAGCAUUAGGAAGACCACUUAACACCUAACCAAUUAUUGAUGUAUUAUUCCAUGUUAUCUCUUA
Pelobates cultripes (western spadefoot toad) is the source of this 212-nucleotide non-coding RNA. NCBI's taxonomy places the organism in Eukaryota, Metazoa, Chordata, Amphibia, Anura, Pelobatidae. The record is from the annotation of a GenBank genome assembly.